GGGUUGUGAGGUUAAGCGACUAAGCGUACACGGUGGAUGCCCUGGCAGUCAGAGGCGAUGAAGGACGUGCUAAUCUGCGAUAAGCGUCGGUAAGGUGAUAUGAACCGUUAUAACCGGCGAUUUCCGAAUGGGGAAACCCAGUGUGAUUCGUCACACUAUCAUUAACUGAAUCCAUAGGUUAAUGAGGCGAACCGGGGGAACUGAAACAUCUAAGUACCCCGAGGAAAAGAAAUCAACCGAGAUUCCCCCAGUAGCGGCGAGCGAACGGGGAGCAGCCCAGAGCCUGAAUCAGUGUGUGUGUUAGUGGAAGCGUCUGGAAAGGCGUGCGAUACAGGGUGACAGCCCCGUACACAAAAAUGCACAUACUGUGAGCUCGAUGAGUAGGGCGGGACACGUGGUAUCCUGUCUGAAUAUGGGGGGACCAUCCUCCAAGGCUAAAUACUCCUGACUGACCGAUAGUGAACCAGUACCGUGAGGGAAAGGCGAAAAGAACCCCGGCGAGGGGAGUGAAAAAGAACCUGAAACCGUGUACGUACAAGCAGUGGGAGCACGCUUAGGCGUGUGACUGCGUACCUUUUGUAUAAUGGGUCAGCGACUUAUAUUCUGUAGCAAGGUUAACCGAAUAGGGGAGCCGAAGGGAAACCGAGUCUUAACUGGGCGUUAAGUUGCAGGGUAUAGACCCGAAACCCGGUGAUCUAGCCAUGGGCAGGUUGAAGGUUGGGUAACACUAACUGGAGGACCGAACCGACUAAUGUUGAAAAAUUAGCGGAUGACUUGUGGCUGGGGGUGAAAGGCCAAUCAAACCGGGAGAUAGCUGGUUCUCCCCGAAAGCUAUUUAGGUAGCGCCUCGUGAAUUCAUCUCCGGGGGUAGAGCACUGUUUCGGCAAGGGGGUCAUCCCGACUUACCAACCCGAUGCAAACUGCGAAUACCGGAGAAUGUUAUCACGGGAGACACACGGCGGGUGCUAACGUCCGUCGUGAAGAGGGAAACAACCCAGACCGCCAGCUAAGGUCCCAAAGUCAUGGUUAAGUGGGAAACGAUGUGGGAAGGCCCAGACAGCCAGGAUGUUGGCUUAGAAGCAGCCAUCAUUUAAAGAAAGCGUAAUAGCUCACUGGUCGAGUCGGCCUGCGCGGAAGAUGUAACGGGGCUAAACCAUGCACCGAAGCUGCGGCAGCGACGCUUAUGCGUUGUUGGGUAGGGGAGCGUUCUGUAAGCCUGUGAAGGUGUGCUGUGAGGUAUGCUGGAGGUAUCAGAAGUGCGAAUGCUGACAUAAGUAACGAUAAAGCGGGUGAAAAGCCCGCUCGCCGGAAGACCAAGGGUUCCUGUCCAACGU
RNAcentral lists this ribosomal RNA (1334 nucleotides) under Shigella flexneri. RNAcentral describes it as "partial 23S ribosomal RNA". It matches the Rfam family "Bacterial large subunit ribosomal RNA", at positions 1 to 1365 of the family's 2925-position model. Lineage: Bacteria; Pseudomonadati; Pseudomonadota; Gammaproteobacteria; Enterobacterales; Enterobacteriaceae. The record is from RNAcentral.